This 1490-nucleotide ribosomal RNA is filed under the name metagenome. RNAcentral describes it as "bacterial SSU rRNA". It matches the Rfam family "Bacterial small subunit ribosomal RNA". The record is from RNAcentral.
AGAGUUUGAUCCUGGCUCAGGACUAACGCUGGCGGCGUGCCUAACACAUGCAAGUCAAACGGGUGUGCCUAUGAAGCUUCGGCCGAUUAGGAAUUACAUACCAGUGGCAGACGGGUGAGUAACACGCAAAUAAUCUACCAUUUAGACGGGGAUAACCUUGGGAAACCAGGACUAAUACCCGAUACGAUUCUAGUAACACAUGUUACCUGAAUGAAAUCCCGCAAGGGACUGAAUGAUGAGUUUGCGGCUGAUUAGCUUGUUGGUAAGGUAAUGGCUUACCAAGGCAGUGAUCAGUAGCUGGUCUGAGAGGACGAACAGCCACACUGGAACUGAGACACGGUCCAGACUCCUACGGGAGGCAGCAGUGAGGAAUUUUGCGCAAUGGGCGAAAGCCUGACGCAGCGACGCCGCGUGAACGAUGAAAUCUUUCGGGAUGUAAAGUUCUGUCAGCAGAGAAAAUUAUGAUGGUAUCUGCAGAGGAAGGCCCGGCUAAAUAUGUGCCAGCAGCCGCGGUAAUACAUAUGGGCCAAGCGUUGUCCGGAUUUAUUGGGCGUAAAGAGCACGUAGGCGGUUAUCUAAGUCGGAAUUAAAAGGCAGAAGCUCAACUUCUGUAUGGUUCUGAAACUGGUUAACUAGAGAUUGGGAGAGGAAAGUGGAAUUAGCAGUGUAGCGGUGAAAUGCGUAGAUAUUGCUAAGAACAUCCGUGGCGAAGGCGGCUUUCUGGCCCAAUUCUGACGCUGAGGUGCGAAAGCGUGGGGAGCAAACAGGAUUAGAUACCCUGGUAGUCCACGCUGUAAACGAUGUACAUUAGGUAUGGGAGGUAUCGACUCCUUCUGUGCCGAAGCUAACGCGUUAAAUGUACCGCCUGGGGAGUACGGUCGCAAGACUAAAACUCAAAGGAAUUGACGGGGGGUCCGCACAAGCAGUGGAUCAUGUGGUUUAAUUCGACGAUACGCGAAAAACCUUACCAGAACUUGACAUCAUUUAGAAUUCUAUAGAAAUAUAGAAGUGCCUUCGGGAGCUUUAUGACAGGUGGUGCAUGGUUGUCGUCAGCUCGUGUCGUGAGAUGUUGGGUUAAGUCCCGCAACGAGCGCAACCCUCGUUUUGUGUUGCUACAUUUAGUUGAGCACUCACAAGAGACUGCCCGUGGAAAACGGGAGGAAGGUGAGGAUGACGUCAAAUCAUCAUGCCCCUUACGUUCUGGGCUACACACAUGAUACAAUGGUCGGUACAAUGGGCAGCCAACCCGCAAGGGGGAGCUAAUCUCAUAAAGCCGAUCUCAGUUCGGAUUGGAGGCUGCAACUCGCCUCCAUGAAGUUGGAAUUGCUAGUAAAUGCAGAUCAGCACGCUGCAUUGAAUACGUUCCCGGGCCUUGUACACACCGCCCGUCACACCAUGAAAGUCGGAGAUAUCCGAAGUCAGCAAGCUAACCGCAAGGAGGCAGCUGCCUAAGAUAGCUCUGGUGAUUGGGGUGAAGUCGUAACAAGGUA